UACGGAGGUCCCGAGCGUUGUUCGGAUUCACUGGGCGUAAAGGGUGCGUAGGUGGUGAGGUAAGUCGGAUGUGAAAUCUCCAGGCUCAACCUGGAAACUGCAUUGGAAACUACCUUGCUGGAGGAUUUGAGGGGGGAUUGGAAUACUUGGUGUAGCAGUGAAAUGCGUAGAUAUCAAGUGGAACACCAGUGGCGAAGGCGAAUCCCUGGAAAAUACCUGACACUGAGGCACGAAAGCUAGGGGAGCAAACAGG
This 253-nucleotide ribosomal RNA is filed under the name uncultured bacterium. Its description in RNAcentral is "partial 16S ribosomal RNA". It matches the Rfam family "Bacterial small subunit ribosomal RNA", at positions 524 to 776 of the family's 1533-position model. The record is from RNAcentral.